Molecule: ribosomal RNA, 406 nt
Filed under: uncultured bacterium
Lineage: Bacteria
Description: partial 16S ribosomal RNA
Rfam family: Bacterial small subunit ribosomal RNA
Source: RNAcentral
AUUGAACGCUGGCGGCAGGCCUAACACAUGCAAGUCGAGCGAGCGGCGGACGGGUGAGUAAUGUCUGGGAAACUGCCUGAUGGAGGGGGAUAACUACUGGAAACGGUAGCUAAUACCGCAUACCAUCAGAUGUGCCCAGAUAGAGUUAGCUAGUAGGUGGGGUAACGGCUCACCUAGGCGACGAUCCCUAGCUGGUCUGAGAGGAUGACCAGCCACAUGGGAACUGAGACACGGUCCAGCCUCCUACGGGAGGCGGCAGUGGGAAAUAUUGCACAAUGGGCGCAAUCCUGAUGCAGCCAGGCCGCGUAGGUGAGGAAGGCCUUGGGGUUGUAAAGCACUUUCAGCGGGGAGGCGUUACCCACAGAAGAAGCACCGGCUAACUCCGUGCCAGCCGCCGCGGUAAUUC